GUGCUCACUUNGGCAGCACAUAUACUAAAAUCGUAACGAUACAGAGAAGAUUAGCAUGGCCNCUGCGCAAGGAUGACANGCAAAUUCGUGAAGUAUUCCAUAAGUUA
Molecule: small nuclear RNA, 107 nt
Filed under: Salvator merianae (Argentine black and white tegu)
Lineage: Eukaryota; Metazoa; Chordata; Lepidosauria; Squamata; Teiidae
Source: RNAcentral